GACGAACGCUGGCGGCGUGCUUAACACAUGCAAGUCGAACGGAAAGGCCCUGCUUUUGUGGGGUGCUCGAGUGGCGAACGGGUGAGUAACACGUGAGUAACCUGCCCUUGACUUUGGGAUAACUUCAGGAAACUGGGGCUAAUACCGGAUAGGAGCUCCUGCUGCAUGGUGGGGGUUGGAAAGUUUCGGCGGUUGGGGAUGGACUCGCGGCUUAUCAGCUUGUUGGUGGGGUAGUGGCUUACCAAGGCUUUGACGGGUAGCCGGCCUGAGAGGGUGACCGGCCACAUUGGGACUGAGAUACGGCCCAGACUCCUACGGGAGGCAGCAGUGGGGAAUAUUGCACAAUGGGCGGAAGCCUGAUGCAGCAACGCCGCGUGCGGGAUGACGGCCUUCGGGUUGUAAACCGCUUUCGCCUGUGACGAAGCGUGAGUGACGGUAAUGGGUAAAGAAGCACCGGCUAACUACGUGCCAGCAGCCGCGGUGAUACGUAGGGUGCGAGCGUUGUCCGGAUUUAUUGGGCGUAAAGGGCUCGUAGGUGGUUGAUCGCGUCGGAAGUGUAAUCUUGGGGCUUAACCCUGAGCGUGCUUUCGAUACGGGUUGACUUGAGGAAGGUAGGGGAGAAUGGAAUUCCUGGUGGAGCGGUGGAAUGCGCAGAUAUCAGGAGGAACACCAGUGGCGAAGGCGGUUCUCUGGGCCUUUCCUGACGCUGAGGAGCGAAAGCGUGGGGAGCGAACAGGCUUAGAUACCCUGGUAGUCCACGCUGUAAACGGUGGGUACUAGGUGUGGGGUCCAAUCCACGGGUUCCGUGCCGUAGCUAACGCUUUAAGUACCCCGCCUGGGGAGUACGGCCGCAAGGCUAAAACUCAAAGGAAUUGACGGGGCCCCGCACAAGCGGCGGAGCAUGCGGAUUAAUUCGAUGCAACGCGUAGAACCUUACCUGGGUUUGACAUGGAUCGGGAGUGCUCAGAGAUGGGUGUGCCUCUUUUGGGGUCGGUUCACAGGUGGUGCAUGCCUGUCGUCAGCUCGUGUCGUGAGAUGUUGGGUUAAGUCCCGCAACGAGCGCAACCCUUGUUCACUGUUGCCAGCACGUUAUGGUGGGGACUCAGUGGAGACCGCCGGGGUCAACUCGGAGGAAGGUGGGGAUGACGUCAAGUCCUCAUGCCCCUUAUGUCCAGGGCUUCACGCAUGCUACGAUGGCUGGUACAGAGAGUGGCGAGCCUGUGAGGGUGAGCGAAUCUCGGAAAGCCGGUCUCAGUUCGGAUUGGGGUCUGCAACUCGACCUCAUGAAGUCGGAGUCGCUAGUAAUCGCAGAUCAGCAACGCUGCGGUGAAUACGUUCCCGGGGCU
Molecule: ribosomal RNA, 1346 nt
Filed under: uncultured bacterium
Lineage: Bacteria
Description: bacterial SSU rRNA
Rfam family: Bacterial small subunit ribosomal RNA
Source: RNAcentral